Molecule: non-coding RNA, 1545 nt
Organism: Physcomitrium patens
Lineage: Eukaryota; Viridiplantae; Streptophyta; Bryopsida; Funariales; Funariaceae
Source: RefSeq, a predicted model, not a curated record
AAUGUUAUGGACGGCGCAGCCCGUUUUUUCCUUGUCUAGGGUGUAGGGGCAGUCCACUAUGUUGCAGUGCAGCCGCGAUUCCUCAGUGUUGCGGUCUGGAGCGACGACAUGGUUUUGGGGUCUUUCCUUCUCUGGAUAUGCGACAUAAGCAGUGCAGUUUUCUCUUCCUCGCCGUGGGCGCGAUUGCAGUUGGCAACGGACGGUUGGCGAAGAGGUUGUUGGUGCCGACUGCCGACGGUGUUUAGGUUCUGUUUUUCUCAUAUUACUAUCCCUGUCGGAAAUUGUUCAUUGCCUGCGGCGGUAAAUUUUGUUGAUUCUCUAGUCCCUCUUCAUUUCCAUUUUUGUGAGGCUUACGGUUCCAGCAAGUGGAACGGCGGCAUUGUAUAGUUUUUUGAGUUGCAUCUUCGAGUUGUUCGAGAGAGCACCAAGGAUUUAACUGUACUGCUAUUUGGUCGCUCCUUCUGCUCGUGGUUUUGUUCUUGGCGAACUUUUCUCUUUGUCAACCUCUUCAUAAUUGGACGAUAUGGUGUAAAAGCUUUCUCGUCGAGGGAAUUCAGUGUUCCCCUUCAACGAUUGAUGAAGUAGGUUGCGAGGGAGGCCACGCAUAUUGGAGGUACUGGACCCUGUAUUGCGGCAUAGAGCUACCUUCCAAAGUCCAAUCGAUUAUGCAAAUAGUGGAAUGUGACUGCAACUGCACCACUUAACAAAUAACGAUGUUGAUGAGGACUUAAACCCACGCCACUGUUGCAAAUCUCAUUGUGGAAUUGGGCAUGCAGUAGAAGAGCAUGGGUAGUUGUUAGUCUUUGACGAUAGUAUUCUGUUACUGAGAAUAGCCAUCAAUAAAUAAAUUUUCAUAUGUUGAUCUAGAAAUCUAUUUGCUGAGACGUAGAGUACAAGGUUGGCGGAGAAGUCCCUCUUAUUUCAGAUUGAGCCGGCUACUGGUCCCUGUUGAGCGAUCGACAAUCAAGCAGGGUGGAGGGUCUGUGCUUAACAGUGUGUUGGAGUGGUCAGCACUGGUCCUCGGUGGAUUUUUAGUGGAUGCUUUAGGCUGCAUGUGAUCAAUUAGAUCAGUCUUCACGUGUUUACUACACACUAUUGGGGCUAGUGAGUAGAGCAACUCUUGAAUAGUAGAAAUCUGGAAGAAUUUAGGUGUACUUAGUAAUUUAGUAAAAUCAUGUUGGAGGAGCUACGAAUUCUCCCAAAUUGUUCCAGUGCAUUUUUGAAUUGACUGUUAGUUUGCAUUGAGAAAUGGAGAAGCCUCGGGGUAGUUGCUGGCGAUUGGUGGUGUGCAAGUUGGUGUCAUUCUUGUUCGAAGGCUCAUGAGGAUCCAUGCUACUGAGCGUGUGCGGCAGCCAUUAGCGGAAGGCAUCAACGCCCUAUUUCGUAAGAAUUUCAGGUGGAUGAUUUAGGUGGAUGAUUUAGGUGGAUGAGAAGUGCAAUACGAUGAUGUAGGUUAGAGUUGGAUGAAGUUAGGAUUUUGGAUGAUUUUUAGAGUUAGAUGAAUUCUCAUUUGGAGAUGAAAAAUCAUUUUCAAAUGGAAAUUUA